RNAcentral lists this long non-coding RNA (279 nucleotides) under Elaeis guineensis (African oil palm). RNAcentral's name for it is "long non-coding RNA (EGUI_LNC010810)". Lineage: Eukaryota; Viridiplantae; Streptophyta; Magnoliopsida; Arecales; Arecaceae. The record is from RNAcentral.
AGGGCAAUCUCUGGCUAAAUGCCCCAACUCCUCACAUCGGUAACAUCUGGUUUUGCUCAAGUCCCUCCUGGACUUGGACCGCCCUCGUCGCGAUCUUCUGUCGCUCCGUCUACCGCCUCCUGCUCCUCCAAAAGCCAUCAAAGCUGAGCUACCACCAUUUGAGCUUGAAGCCGGGUUCUCUCUCCUGAGAACCUCAUUCCAAAGUAUCGCCGCGAUGAUCUCAUUCAUCUUGAUGGGGCUCUUUCUCACUAGAAGAGCAGUCACCAAGGACUCGUACGA